CCCUUAGAUGUUCUGGGCUGCACGCGCGCUACACUGAAGCUAUCAACACGUUUUCCCUCCCUGAGAAGGGCGGGUAACCUUUUGAAUCAGCUUCGUGGUAGGGAUCGGGGCUUGCAAUUGUUCCCCGUGAACCAGGAAUUCCUAGUAGACGCGAGUCAUAAGCUCGCAUCGAUUAAGUCCCUGCCCUUUGUACACACCGCCCGUCGCUACUACCGAUUGAACGUUUUAGUGAGGCAUUUGGACCGACGCAUCUCAGUUUAACCGCUGGUUUGUGUUGGAAAGCCUUCCAAACUUGAGCGUUUAGAGGAAGUAAAAGUCGUAACA
Molecule: ribosomal RNA, 324 nt
Filed under: uncultured eukaryote
Lineage: Eukaryota
Description: partial 18S ribosomal RNA
Rfam family: Eukaryotic small subunit ribosomal RNA
Source: RNAcentral